RNAcentral lists this ribosomal RNA (253 nucleotides) under uncultured bacterium. RNAcentral describes it as "partial 16S ribosomal RNA". It matches the Rfam family "Bacterial small subunit ribosomal RNA", at positions 524 to 776 of the family's 1533-position model. The record is from RNAcentral.
UACGGAGGGGGCUAGCGUUGUUCGGAAUUACUGGGCGUAAAGCGCGUGUAGGCGGCUUGGCAAGUCGGAUGUGAAAGCCCACGGCUCAACCGUGGAAGCGCACCCGAAACGGCCUCGCUCGAGUCUCGGAGAGGAAGGUGGAAUGCUUGGUGUAGAGGUGAAAUUCGUAGAUAUCAAGCAGAACACCUGCGGCGAAGGCGGCCUUCUGGACGAUGACUGACGCUGAGACGCGAAAGCGUGGGGAGCAAACAGG